This 775-nucleotide ribosomal RNA is filed under the name uncultured Neocallimastigales. Its description in RNAcentral is "partial large subunit ribosomal RNA". It matches the Rfam family "Eukaryotic large subunit ribosomal RNA", at positions 26 to 634 of the family's 3401-position model. Lineage: Eukaryota; Fungi; Neocallimastigomycota; Neocallimastigomycetes; Neocallimastigales. The record is from RNAcentral.
CGCAUCUGUGCAUGCAGCAUAUCAAUAAGCGGAGGAAAAGAAACUAACAAGGAUUCCCCUAGUAACGGCGAGUGAAGCGGGAAGAGCUCAAAUUUGAAAUCUUAAAGGGUUUCCCUUUACGAAUUGUAGUUUAAAGAAGUGUUUUCUGUUGAGGUUUUGGUAAAAGUUCUUUGGAAUAGGACAUCAUAGAGGGUGAGAAUCCCGUAUUUGACCUUUACUUUCAACUUUGUCGAUACACUUUCAAAGAGUCGGAUUGUUUGGGAAUGCAGUCCAAAAUGGGUGGUAAAUUUCAUCUAAAGCUAAAUAUUGGCGAGAGACCGAUAGCGAACAAGUACCGUGAGGGAAAGAUGAAAAGAACUUUGAAAAGAGAGUUAAACAGUACGUGAAAUUGUCAAAAGGGAAGCGUUUGACACCAGUGUUGUUUUUCUGAAAAUCAAUUAAAGAACUGUUUAUGCUAAGUUGUUUAGACUUUAUCAGCUAACUGUUUAGUUUUGAGCUUUUCUUUAAUGCACUUUUCAGUUAACAAGUCAACAUCAAUUUCUUUUGCUGUAAAGAAGCUUGAGGAAGGUGGCUUGAGAUUCGUCUUAAGUGUUUAUAGCCUCUUGCCUAUGCAGUCGGAGAGAUUGAGGUCUGCAGCGUAGAUCCUUCGGGGCUAAAUGCAUUUGUGCUAAGUUAUAACAUUUUAUAGACAACUUGUUGACUAUGAUUUGUCUUGUAGCUUACUCGCUUAUGUUAUUUUACCUACGCUUAGGAUGUUGAACGCACACAGAGUCUC